UAAGUAGAUCGCCUUAUCGAUUCUAAAUUUAUUUAGGGUAGGAAAGUCCGAACACCAUAGUGCAAUCAUAGUGGUUAACAGCCACCAGUCGUAAGGCUAGGAAAAGUGCAACAGAAAGUAUGUACAGGUAAUGCUGUAGUGAAACCAGGUAAACUCUAUGUGGUGCAAUGUCAUGUAUACUAACGUUUGAGCGUACACGCGCGAUUGUUAGAGGGUAGGCAGCUAAAGUUUGCUGGCAACAGUAAACGUAGAUAAAUGAUAAGGGCUCUUUUAUUAGAGUACAGAAUUCGGCUUAUAGAUUUACUUAAGCA
This 311-nucleotide RNase P RNA is filed under the name Winogradskyella eximia. RNAcentral describes it as "RNase P RNA component class A". It matches the Rfam family "Bacterial RNase P class A". Rfam says of the family: Ribonuclease P (RNase P) is a ubiquitous endoribonuclease, found in archaea, bacteria and eukarya as well as chloroplasts and mitochondria. Its best characterised activity is the generation of mature 5'-ends of tRNAs by cleaving the 5'-leader elements of precursor-tRNAs. Cellular RNase Ps are ribonucleoproteins. Lineage: Bacteria; Pseudomonadati; Bacteroidota; Flavobacteriia; Flavobacteriales; Flavobacteriaceae. The record is from RNAcentral.